RNAcentral lists this ribosomal RNA (468 nucleotides) under uncultured bacterium. Its description in RNAcentral is "partial 16S ribosomal RNA". It matches the Rfam family "Bacterial small subunit ribosomal RNA", at positions 28 to 507 of the family's 1533-position model. The record is from RNAcentral.
GACGAACGCUGGCGGCGUGCUUAACACAUGCAAGUCGAACGGAAAGGCCCUGCUUUUGUGGGGUGCUCGAGUGGCGAACGGGUGAGUAACACGUGAGUAACCUGCCCUUGACUUUGGGAUAACUUCAGGAAACUGGGGCUAAUACCGGAGAGGAGCUCCUGCUGCAGGGUGGGGGUUGGAAAGUUUCGGCGGUUGGGGAUGGACUCGCGGCUUAUCAGCUUGUUGGUGGGGUAGUGGCUUACCAAGGCUUUGACGGGUAGCCGGCCUGAGAGGGUGACCGGCCACAUUGGGACUGAGAUACGGCCCAGACUCCUACGGGAGGCAGCAGUGGGGAAUCUUGCACAAUGGGCGGAAGCCUGAUGCAGAAACGCCGCGUGCGGGAUGACGGCCUUCGGGUUGUAAACCGCUUUAGCCUGUGACGAAGCGUGAGUGACGGUAAUGGGUAAAGAAGCACCGGCUAACUACGUG